UCUUUUUAAUAGUUAUUAUGCAGAUAUUUUGAUGGAAAUUUUAGAAGUUACUACUCUGAAUGGAUCUGCGGUCUACUUUUUGUGUAGAAUCCCAUGACCACCGGGGGCCUUUUUAAAGAUUCCAACUGCAUUCUCGCUUCUUCUCUUGAUGAAAAUAUAAGGCUGUUUAGUAAAUCUACUGGAGAAGUGCUGAACACUUUUUCUGGUCUUCAAAAUUCUUGGUAAUAACUAAACAGCGAACUUUCAAAAACGACGACUUUGUAGUUUCAGACUCCGAAGAGGC
This is a long non-coding RNA of Zophobas morio, 283 nucleotides long. RefSeq lists it as uncharacterized. The transcript has 3 exons. The record is from RefSeq and is a predicted model, not a curated record. NCBI's taxonomy places the organism in Eukaryota, Metazoa, Arthropoda, Insecta, Coleoptera, Tenebrionidae.